This 253-nucleotide ribosomal RNA is filed under the name uncultured bacterium. RNAcentral describes it as "partial 16S ribosomal RNA". It matches the Rfam family "Bacterial small subunit ribosomal RNA", at positions 524 to 776 of the family's 1533-position model. The record is from RNAcentral.
UACGGAGGGUGCAAGCGUUGUUCGGAAUUAUUGGGCGUAAAGCGCGUGUAGGCGGCUUUGCAAGUCGGGUGUGAAAGCCCUCAGCUCAACUGAGGAAGUGCGCCCGAAACUGCAGAGCUUGAGUACCGGAGAGGAUGGUGGAAUUCCCCAAGUAGAGGUGAAAUUCGUAGAUAUGGGGAGGAACACCGGUGGCGAAGGCGACCAUCUGGACGGAUACUGACGCUGAGACGCGAAAGCGUGGGUAGCAAACAGG